Molecule: ribosomal RNA, 3007 nt
Filed under: anaerobic digester metagenome
Description: bacterial LSU rRNA
Rfam family: Bacterial large subunit ribosomal RNA
Source: RNAcentral
AGAGCACACGGUGGAUGCCUUGGCACCAGUGGCCGAAGAAGGACGUGGCAAGCUGCGAAAAGCUCCGGUUAGCUGCAAGCGAGCGUUAGACCCGGAGAUUUCCGAAUGGGGCAACCUGCCGCAGGUAAUGCUGCGGCAUCCCUGCCUGAAUCCAUAGGGCAGGAGAAGGGCACCGGGGGAACUGAAACAUCUAAGUACCCCGAGGAAGAGAAAGAAACCUCGAUUCCCCCAGUAGCGGCGAGCGAAGAGGGAAGAGCCUAAACCAUUUAAGUGGAGAAGCCUGCAAGCGUUGCUUAAAUGGGGUUGUAGGGGUCAGAAUUGAGGCAGGUUGCAGACUGCUUCCAGGCCAAGUUCAGCUAGCAGAAGCGCUCUGGAAAGAGCCACCGCAGAGGGUGAAAGUCCCGUAUGCGAAAGCUGGGCGCAACCUGUUCUGACUACCUGAGUACCGCGGGACACGUGGAAUCCUGUGGGAAUCUGGGAGGCCCACCUCCCAAGGCUAAAUACCAUCUGGUGACCGAUAGUGAACUAGUACCGUGAGGGAAAGGUGAAAAGCACCCCGGGAGGGGAGUGAAAUAGAACCUGAAACCGUGUGUUUACAAUCAGUCGGAGUGCUAUGAAUCAAGCACGACGGCGUACUUUUUGUAGAACGGACCGGCGAGAGGCGGUAUGCAGCGAGGUUAAGCGAAAGCGGAGCCGCAGCGAAAGCGAGUCUGAAUAGGGCAUAAGUUGCAUGUCGCAGACCCGAAACCAGGUGAUCUAUCCAUGGCCAGGGUGAAGCGGAUGUAAAAAUUCGUGGAGGCCCGAACCUCAACGACGUUGAAAAGUCGUGGGAUGAGCUGUGGAUGGGGGUGAAAUGCCAAUCGAACCUGGAGAUAGCUGGUUCUCCCCGAAAUAGCUUUAGGGCUAGCCUCAAAGUAAGAAUCAUGGAGGUAGAGCACUGAUUGGGCUAGGGGCCCUACCAGGUUACCGAACCCAUUCAAACUCCGAAUUCCAUGAUUUGUUCUUUGGGAGUCAGACUAUGUGGGAUAAGCUUCAUAGUCGAGAGGAAAACAGUCCAGACCAACAGCUAAGGUCCCAAAGCACGAACUAAGUGGGAAAGGAUGUAGGACUGCCCAGACAACCAGGAUGUUGGCUUAGAAGCAGCCAUUCAUUCAAAGAGUGCGUAAUAGCUCACUGGUCGAGUGGUCCUGCGCCGAAAAUGUAACGGGGCUCAAGUUCGUCACCGAAGCUUUGGAAUCCGUAAGGAUUGGUAGGGGAGCGUUCUGCAGGCGCAGAAGCCAUACCGAAAGGAGUGGUGGAGUCUGCAGAAGUGAGAAUGCCGGUAUGAGUAGCGAGAAGGCAGGUGAGAAUCCUGCCCGCCGAAAGCCUAAGGUUUCCUGAGGAAGGCUCGUCCGCUCAGGGUAAGUCGGGACCUAAGCCGAGGCCGAUUGGCGUAGGCGAUGGACAACAGGUUGAGAUUCCUGUACCACCUAUACACCGUUAUGAGCGAAGGGGGGACGCAGGAGGGUAAGCUAGCCUGCUGAUGGAAUAGCAGGUCCAAGCCAGUAGGAUGGACAUCCAGGCAAAUCCGGAAGUCCGCGUAUCCGAGAGGUGAUGGGGAGCGGGUAAAUCCUGCGGAAGUAGCUGAUCCCAUACUGCCGAGAAAAGCCUCUAGCCAGGUGUAGGGUGCCCGUACCGCAAACCGACACAGGUAGGCGAGAAGAGAAUUCUAAGGCGCGCGAGAGAACCCUUGUUAAGGAACUCGGCAAAUUGACCCUGUAACUUUGGGAGAAAGGGUGCCCUGUUAUCGUGAAGGAGCUAGCCUCUGGAGCGAGAGAGGGUUGCAGUGAAACGGCCCAAGCGACUGUUUAGCAAAAACACAGGUCUCUGCUAAGUCGAAAGACGAAGUAUAGGGGCUGACGCCUGCCCGGUGCUGGAAGGUUAAGGGGAAAGGUUAGCGCAAGCGAAGCUUUGAACCGAAGCCCCAGUGAACGGCGGCCGUAACUAUAACGGUCCUAAGGUAGCGAAAUUCCUUGUCUGGUAAGUUCAGACCCGCACGAAAGGCGUAACGAUCUGGGCGCUGUCUCAACGAGGGGCUCGGUGAAAUUGUAAUACCGGUGAAGAUGCCGGUUACCUGCGAUAGGACAGAAAGACCCCGUGGAGCUUUACUGCAACUUGAUAUUGGAUUUUGGCAGGUCAUGUACAGGAUAGGUGGGAGGCAGAGAAGCGAGUCCGCCAGGAUUCGUGGAGCCACUGGUGGGAUACCACUCUUGAUGUGCUGGAGUUCUAACCUCGGGCCGUAAUCCGGUCCAGGGACAGUGUCAGGCGGGCAGUUUGACUGGGGCGGUCGCCUCCUAAAAGGUAACGGAGGCGCCCAAAGGUUCCCUCAGCGCGGAUGGAAAUCGCGCGAAGAGUGUAAAGGCAUAAGGGAGCUUGACUGCGAGAGAGACAUUUCGAGCAGGGACGAAAGUCGGGCUUAGUGAUCCGGCGGUUCCGAGUGGAAGGGCCGUCGCUCAACGGAUAAAAGCUACCCCGGGGAUAACAGGCUUAUCUCCCCCAAGAGUCCACAUCGACGGGGAGGUUUGGCACCUCGAUGUCGGCUCAUCAUCGACGGGGAGGUUUGGCACCUCGAUGUCGGCUCAUCACAUCCUGGGGCCGGAGAAGGUCCCAAGGGUUGGGCUGUUCGCCCAUUAAAGUGGUACGUGAGCUGGGUUCAGAACGUCGUGAGACAGUUCGGUCCCUAUCCAUCGCAGGCGCAGGAAACUUGAGAGGAGCUGUCCCUAGUACGAGAGGACCGGGAUGGACAGACCGCUGGUGUACCAGUUGUCUCGCCAGAGGCACAGCUGGGUAGCUAUGUCUGGGACGGAUAAGCGCUGAAAGCAUCUAAGCGCGAAGCCGACCUCAAGAUGAGGUUUCCCACUGGGUUAACCAGGUAAGACCCCAGCAAGAUUAGCUGGUUGAUAGGCCGGGGGUGUAAGUGCAGCAAUGCAUUCAGCCGACCGGUACUAAUAGGUCGAGGGCUUGACCU